RNAcentral lists this ribosomal RNA (497 nucleotides) under uncultured bacterium. Its description in RNAcentral is "partial 16S ribosomal RNA". It matches the Rfam family "Bacterial small subunit ribosomal RNA", at positions 28 to 507 of the family's 1533-position model. The record is from RNAcentral.
GACGAACGCUGGCGGCGUGCCUAAUACAUGCAAGUUGAGCGCUGAAGGUUGGUACUUGUCCCAACUGGAUGAGCAGCGAACGGGUGAGUAACGCGUGGGGAAUCUGCCUUUGAGCGGGGGACAACAUUUGGAAACGAAUGCUAAUACCGCAUAAAAACUUUAAACACAAGUUUUAAGUUUGAAAGAUGCAAUUGCAUCACUCAAAGAUGAUCCCGCGUUGUAUUAGCUAGUUGGUGAGGUAAAGGCUCACCAAGGCGAUGAUACAUAGCCGACCUGAGAGGGUGAACGGCCACAAUGGGACUGAGACCCGGCCCAAACCCCUAAGGGAGGCAGCAAGAAGGAAACUUCGGGAAAGGACGAAAGGCUGACCGAGGAACGCCGGCGGAGGGGAGAAGGGUGUCGGGUCGUAAAAAUCUGUUGGUAGAGAAGAAAGUUGGUGAGAGUGGAAAGCUCAUCAAGUGACGGUAACUACCCAGAAAGGGACGGCUAACUACGUG